This is a long non-coding RNA of Episyrphus balteatus (marmalade hoverfly), 144 nucleotides long. RefSeq lists it as uncharacterized. The transcript has 2 exons. Lineage: Eukaryota; Metazoa; Arthropoda; Insecta; Diptera; Syrphidae. The record is from RefSeq and is a predicted model, not a curated record.
UAUAGUGUCAAGAGGCAUGGUACAAAUGCCUUAAAGUCAUAGUAGAAAGAAGUUGAGUCGGAAUUCAUAAGCUUCUUGAUGAUCUGAGGAAGAAUUUUGAAAAACAAAAUAAAAGAAAAAUCAGAACAGUUGUUGAAUACAAAA